UUAGUAGUAAAUUAAGAAUAGAGA
Molecule: non-coding RNA, 24 nt
Filed under: Cricetulus griseus (Chinese hamster)
Lineage: Eukaryota; Metazoa; Chordata; Mammalia; Rodentia; Cricetidae
Source: RNAcentral